RNAcentral lists this transfer RNA (67 nucleotides) under Acanthosepion lycidas. Its description in RNAcentral is "Sepia lycidas tRNA-Ala". The record is from RNAcentral. Lineage: Eukaryota; Metazoa; Mollusca; Cephalopoda; Sepiida; Sepiidae.
GGUAUUAUAUUUUAUAAAGAAAAUAUGAUUUGCAAUCAUAAAGUAAGAUUUAUUAUCUUUAAUUCCU